This 98-nucleotide signal recognition particle RNA is filed under the name Bacteroidota bacterium. Its description in RNAcentral is "Bacteroidetes bacterium (aquatic metagenome) signal recognition particle sRNA small type". It matches the Rfam family "Bacteroidales small SRP". Rfam says of the family: The non-coding component of the signal recognition particle in Bacteroides Lineage: Bacteria; Pseudomonadati; Bacteroidota. The record is from RNAcentral.
GGGCAAGCCCUAUACGACCAGCUCCUGUGAACUUCCCCAGGGUCGGAAGGCAGCAAGGAUAAGCGGUUGUAGCGGUGCGAUGUAGGAACUUGCCCUUU